UUGGAUACAUUGUUUUUGGUAGGCAGCUUUGUUUGCCUUUCAGUUGUGAUAUUGACAGGAACAAGACAGAAUCGAUGGGGAAUCAGGGUUAAUUUUAAGCACAAAAUCAAAUUGUGCUUGCUCAGGAAAAAGGAACCUUCGAAAGGAUUGGAAAACAGAGCACAAAAGGAAAUUAUACCUUACAAUGUGGGAGAAAGUGUCCUUCAGCUUUGGUAACAACUUGCAGCAGGCGAAAACAGGGGGCAGCAUCGAAAACAUCACAAUGCCGCAGAUGUGCAACACACACGGCCAAUAUCGAAUGCGGAUAUGAGGGAUACGAGUGUGUGUGUGUGGCACAACCAGGGGCUUUGGUGCUACCCACAAAGCCCCACUCGGCCAGCAGCAGCAAUAAAGGAAAAUAAGUGUCUAGAACAAGCAGCGACUAGCAUAACUGCGGGAAAGUGACGGUGAUGAGAGCCCCUGACCCACGUCAACCCACGACCCCUCCGAAUUCGAUUCCUGAUGCCACAGAAAGCAAUUUGAACUGGGCUGCCUGCCUCUGGUUAGAUCACGUGCACCACCGUUGCGGUUUCGCAAUUGCUGGCCAUUACAAAAGGAACUGAACUAAGAUUUUAAAUCAUUGUACACCCUCUUCAAAUAAACCAUUAAAUUCUUUAAAGCUA
This is a long non-coding RNA of Drosophila yakuba, 662 nucleotides long. RefSeq lists it as uncharacterized. The transcript has 2 exons. The record is from RefSeq and is a predicted model, not a curated record. Lineage: Eukaryota; Metazoa; Arthropoda; Insecta; Diptera; Drosophilidae.